GGAUUAGAUACCCUGGUAGUCCACGCCCUAAACGAUGUAUGCUUGGUGUUCCCAUUAAUUUGGGAGUGCCGGAGGUAACCCGUUAAGCAUACCACCUGGGGAGUACGAUCGCAAGGUUGAAACUCAAAGGAAUUGACGGGGGCCCGCACAAGCGGUGGAUUAUGUGGUUUAAUUCGAUGCAACGCGAAGAACCUUACCUGGGCUUAAAGUGUUAGUUAAUCUCUCAGAGACGAGAGAGUGCUUCGGCCGCUAAUACAGGUGCUGCAUGGCUGUCGUCAGCUCGUGCUG
RNAcentral lists this ribosomal RNA (288 nucleotides) under uncultured bacterium. Its description in RNAcentral is "partial 16S ribosomal RNA". It matches the Rfam family "Bacterial small subunit ribosomal RNA", at positions 775 to 1067 of the family's 1533-position model. The record is from RNAcentral.